This 218-nucleotide long non-coding RNA is filed under the name Oncorhynchus kisutch (coho salmon). Its description in RNAcentral is "lncRNA (ENSOKIG00005003614.1)". The record is from RNAcentral. Lineage: Eukaryota; Metazoa; Chordata; Actinopteri; Salmoniformes; Salmonidae.
GACAGCUGUACAUAAUUAGCCAUUCAGGUAAGAAGGGUCUGGGAUUCCUUUAUGAGGUGCAACCAAAACAGCUGUUAGACAUUGCAACAGGGAUAUUCUGGUAGGGUGUCUGUGUAGCAUUAGUUCUGAAUACGGUUGUGGUUUUGAUCACUAAAAUGGCUGUGACUUUUGGACUCUCUUUGAGUGUUUCUUGGAUUUGUUGCCUGCUAAUUGGAGGG